UACGUAGGGGGCAAGCGUUGUCCGGAUUUAUUGGGCGUAAAGAGCGUGUAGGCGGCUUGGUAGGUCUCGCGUCAAAACCUGAGGCUCAACCUCAGUUCGCGUGGGAAACCACCUAGCUAGAGUCCGGAAGAGGAGAACGGAAUUCCCAGUGUAGCGGUGAAAUGCGCAGAUAUUGGGAAGAACACCAGUGGCGAAGGCGGUUCUCUGGGACGGUACUGACGCUGAGACGCGAAAGCCAGGGGAGCGAACGGG
Molecule: ribosomal RNA, 252 nt
Filed under: uncultured bacterium
Lineage: Bacteria
Description: partial 16S ribosomal RNA
Rfam family: Bacterial small subunit ribosomal RNA
Source: RNAcentral